AAUAAGUGCAGUUUUGCACUAUUCACGUUCAACGUUUGACCGUCCGUCUUAUUUGAAAAAUUUGUGAAAAAAUUAAAAACAUUUAGUCACACAUAAAGUACUAUUCAUGUUUUAUCAUCUAAUAGCAAUAAAAAUAAUUUUUUCACAAAUUUUUCAAAUAAGACGGACGGUCAAACGUUGAACGUGAAUAGUGCAAAACUGCACUUAUU
Molecule: microRNA precursor, 209 nt
Filed under: Oryza rufipogon (brownbeard rice)
Lineage: Eukaryota; Viridiplantae; Streptophyta; Magnoliopsida; Poales; Poaceae
Description: MIR812 microRNA precursor family
Rfam family: MIR812 microRNA precursor family
Source: Rfam by way of RNAcentral